GCUUGUCUCAAAGAUUAAGCCAUGCAUGUCUAAGUAUAACUCUUUUACUUUGAAAACUGCGAACGGCUCAUUAUAUCAGUUAUAGUUUCUUUGAUAGUCCCUUACUACUUGGAUACCCGUAGUAAUUCUAGAGCUAAUACAUGCAUCAAUACCCAACUGUUCGCGGAAGGGUAGUAUUUAUUAGGUAUAGACCAACCCUCCUCGGAGGUGCUUUGGUGAUUCAUAAUAACUUUUCGAAUCGCAUGGCCUUGUGCUAGCGACAGUCCACUCGAUUUUCUGCCCUAUCAUGGUUGAGAUUGUAAGAUAGAGGCUUACAAUGCCUACAACGGGUAACGGGGAAUUAGGGUUCGAUUCCGGAGAGGGAGCCUGAGAAACGGCUACCACAUCCAAGGAAGGCAGCAGG
This 403-nucleotide ribosomal RNA is filed under the name uncultured Katablepharidophyta. RNAcentral describes it as "partial small subunit ribosomal RNA". It matches the Rfam family "Eukaryotic small subunit ribosomal RNA", at positions 30 to 432 of the family's 1831-position model. Lineage: Eukaryota; Cryptophyceae; Kathablepharidacea. The record is from RNAcentral.